GAUGAACGCUGGCGGCGUGCCUAAUACAUGCAAGUCGAGCGAACAGACGAGGAGCUUGCUCCUCUGACGUUAGCGGAGGACGGGUGAGUAACACGUGGAUAACCUACCUAUAAGACUGGGAUAACUUCGGGAAACCGGAGCUAAUACCGGAUAAUAUAUUGAACCGCAUGGUUCAAUAGUGAAAGACGGUUUUGCUGUCACUUAUAGAGGGAUCCGCGCCGCAUUAGCUAGUUGGGAAGGUAACGGCUUACCAAGGCAACUAUGCGUAGCCGAGCUGAGGGGGUGAUCGGCCACACUGGAACUGAGACACGGUCCAGACUCCUACGGGAGGCAGCAGUAGGGAAUCUUCCGCAAUGGGCGAAAGCCUGACGGAGCAACGCCGCGUGAGUGAUGAAGGUCUUCGGAUCGUAAAACUCUGUUAUUAGGUAAGAACAACUGUGUACGUAACUAUGCACGUCUUGACGGUACCUAAUCAGAAAGCCACGGCUAACUACGUG
RNAcentral lists this ribosomal RNA (497 nucleotides) under uncultured bacterium. RNAcentral's name for it is "partial 16S ribosomal RNA". It matches the Rfam family "Bacterial small subunit ribosomal RNA", at positions 28 to 507 of the family's 1533-position model. The record is from RNAcentral.